UACGAAGGGGGCUAGCGUUGUUCGGAAUCACUGGGCGUAAAGGGCGCGUAGGCGGCUGUUCAAGUCGGGGGUGAAAUCCUGUGGCUCAACCACAGAAUGGCCUUCGAUACUGGACGGCUAGAGACCGGAAGAGGUGAGUGGAACUGCGAGUGUAGAGGUGAAAUUCGUAGAUAUUCGCAAGGACACCAGUGGCGAAGGCGGCUCACUGGUCCGGUUCUGACGCUGAGGCGCGAAAGCGUGGGGAGCAAACAGG
RNAcentral lists this ribosomal RNA (253 nucleotides) under uncultured bacterium. RNAcentral describes it as "partial 16S ribosomal RNA". It matches the Rfam family "Bacterial small subunit ribosomal RNA", at positions 524 to 776 of the family's 1533-position model. The record is from RNAcentral.